CCUCUACUCAAUAUUCCCUGCCAGAGCGCCGUUGCGAGAUAGUCCCGAAUUCCAGAGUUUGGUGAGCAAAAUCGACGUGGACCCGGGACUAACAGGACGGCCUUCAACCAGGCUUGCUUCCAGAUUGUCGCCAUUCCAUGCACUCUGGCCUUCUCAAUCAUCGGUGGCGUUAUAACAGGUACAAUAAUAAACCUUUCAUCACCAGCCACCGGAUCUGUACCUGAGGACUCUUUCUUUGAGGAUGCUCUGCACUGGGAAAUCCCCAAUGAAAGUGAUGAGUCGACAGAAAAAAAUGUGCCCGAAAAAACGGAGUCGACUAUAAUAAAAGUUCACGAGCCUUCUGAUACCAAAGUGGUUGAGGAAAAGUGCUAAACUAAAUAUUAAUAACCUUAAACUUCAGUGUGGUCACAAAGAAAAAACAGUUUCGGUGGGAAUUUGAAUAGAUAUCACCACUUCCAUGGAAUCUGUAGGGGUUGCCUCAGUGAUCUAUAUGGUACAUAUAUACUGCUAAUGUACUUUAAAACAUGUCCCUCAAGGGGACAAAAUGAAGGAUUAAAUGUUUAUUACGAAGGAUGUGUUCUUAUAAAAAUAUGUUCAACGAG
RNAcentral lists this long non-coding RNA (602 nucleotides) under Nilaparvata lugens (brown planthopper). RNAcentral describes it as "uncharacterized LOC120353723". The record is from RNAcentral. Lineage: Eukaryota; Metazoa; Arthropoda; Insecta; Hemiptera; Delphacidae.